CCUACGGGGGGCUGCAGUGGGGAAUAUUGGACAAUGGGGGAAACCCUGAUCCAGCGACGCCGCGUGAGUGAAGAAGUAUUUCGGUAUGUAAAGCUCUAUCAGCAGGGAAGAAAAUGACGGUACCUGACUAAGAAGCCCCGGCUAACUACGUGCCAGCAGCCGCGGUAAUACGUAGGGGGCAAGCGUUAUCCGGAUUUACUGGGUGUAAAGGGAGCGUAGACGGCACUGCAAGUCUGGAGUGAAAGCCCGGGGCUCAACCCCGGGACUGCUUUGGAAACUGUGGUGCUAGAGUGCAGGAGAGGUAAGUGGAAUUCCUAGUGUAGCGGUGAAAUGCGUAGAUAUUAGGAGGAACACCAGUGGCGAAGGCGGCUUACUGGACUGUAACUGACGUUGAGGCUCGAAAGCGUGGGGAGCAAACAGGAUUAGAUACCCUUGUAGUC
This 440-nucleotide ribosomal RNA is filed under the name uncultured bacterium. RNAcentral describes it as "bacterial SSU rRNA". It matches the Rfam family "Bacterial small subunit ribosomal RNA", at positions 338 to 795 of the family's 1533-position model. The record is from RNAcentral.